This 253-nucleotide ribosomal RNA is filed under the name uncultured bacterium. RNAcentral describes it as "partial 16S ribosomal RNA". It matches the Rfam family "Bacterial small subunit ribosomal RNA", at positions 524 to 776 of the family's 1533-position model. The record is from RNAcentral.
UACGAAGGGGACUAGCGUUGUUCGGAAUUACUGGGCGUAAAGCGCGCGUAGGCGGUUCGCUAAGUCAGGGGUGAAAUCCCAGGGCUCAACCCUGGAACUGCCUUUGAUACUGACGAUCUGGAGAUCGGGAGAGGUUGGUGGAAUUCCGAGUGUAGAGGUGAAAUUCGUAGAUAUUCGGAGGAACACCAGAAGCGAAGGCGGCCAACUGGCCCGAUACUGACGCUGAGGCGCGAAAGCGUGGGGAGCAAACAGG